Molecule: ribosomal RNA, 554 nt
Filed under: uncultured bacterium
Lineage: Bacteria
Description: partial 16S ribosomal RNA
Rfam family: Bacterial small subunit ribosomal RNA
Source: RNAcentral
UAGGGAAUCUUCCACAAUGGACGCAAGUCUGAUGGAGCAACGCCGCGUGAGUGAAGAAGGUUUUCGGAUCGUAAAGCUCUGUUGUUGGUGAAGAAGGAUAGAGGCAGUAACUGGUCUUUAUUUGACGGUAAUCAACCAGAAAGUCACGGCUAACUACGUGCCAGCAGCCGCGGUAAUACGUAGGUGGCAAGCGUUGUCCGGAUUUAUUGGGCGUAAAGCGAGCGCAGGCGGAAUGAUAAGUCUGAUGUGAAAGCCCACGGCUCAACCGUGGAACUGCAUCGGAAACUGUCAUUCUUGAGUGCAGAAGAGGAGAGUGGAACUCCAUGUGUAGCGGUGGAAUGCGUAGAUAUAUGGAAGAACACCAGUGGCGAAGGCGGCUCUCUGGUCUGCAACUGACGCUGAGGCUCGAAAGCAUGGGUAGCGAACAGGAUUAGAUACCCUGGUAGUCCAUGCCGUAAACGAUGAGCGCUAGGUGUUGGGGACUUUCCGGUUCUCAGUGCCGCAGCAAACGCAUUAAGCGCUCCGCCUGGGGAGUACGACCGCAAGGUUGGAAC